AUACGGAAGGUCCGGGCGUUAUCCGGAUUUAUUGGGUUUAAAGGGAGCGCAGGCGGAGAUGCAAGCGUGACGUCAAAUUUCGGGGCUCAACCCCGUCUCGCGUCGCGAACUGCGUCCCUUGGUUGCGGGAAGGGGAGGCGGAACUCGUGGUGUAGCGGUGAAAUGCAUAGAUAUCACGAAGAACUCCGAUCGCGAAGGCAGCCUUCCGGCCCGUCAACGACGCUCAUGCUCGAAGGUGCGGGUAUCAGACAGGAUUAGAUACCCUGGUAGUCCGCACAGUAAACGAUGGACACCCGCGGUUUGGCCUAUAUGGCUGAGCCGCCAAGCGAAAGCGUUAAGUGUCCCACCUGGGGAGUACGCCGGCAACGGUGAAACUCAAAUGAAUUGACGGGG
Molecule: ribosomal RNA, 393 nt
Filed under: uncultured bacterium
Lineage: Bacteria
Description: partial 16S ribosomal RNA
Rfam family: Bacterial small subunit ribosomal RNA
Source: RNAcentral